This 349-nucleotide long non-coding RNA is filed under the name Solanum lycopersicum (tomato). RNAcentral describes it as "long non-coding RNA (SLYC_LNC000468)". Lineage: Eukaryota; Viridiplantae; Streptophyta; Magnoliopsida; Solanales; Solanaceae. The record is from RNAcentral.
AGUGAAACGGCAAGCGUAACUAGCCGACCCAUUUUUGAAUUGAACGGCGUGAACCAUACCGUCGCCGUCGAAGAAAUGGUGUCCGGCGGUUGGUUCAAAAAGAGGGUUAGCUCCGUUUCGAACGUAAACGCCUUGAACACAUUUGGGUAUUUUUCCGGUGACCGGAAGAGAUUGACAGACUGGAUUUUCCGGUACCGGAGCAAAAUUCCCAGAAAUCUGGACUCGUGGGUCGGCUGUUUUCGGCAAAGGGUGUUCAAGUUCAUGUUUAGUUAAAGCACUUUCUACAGCAUCUAAAGCCAUUGCUGCUGCUUUCUGCACUAAAUUCCACUUGGAAGUUGAAGAAGAAGAG